RNAcentral lists this ribosomal RNA (239 nucleotides) under uncultured bacterium. RNAcentral's name for it is "partial 16S ribosomal RNA". It matches the Rfam family "Bacterial small subunit ribosomal RNA", at positions 524 to 762 of the family's 1533-position model. The record is from RNAcentral.
UACGUAGGGGGCAAGCGUUGUCCGGAUUUAUUGGGCGUAAAGAGCGUGUAGGCGGCCUGAAAGGUCAGCUGUGAAAACUCGAGGCUCAACCUCGAGACGUCGGUUGAAACCAUCUGGCUAGAGUCCGGAAGAGGAGAGUGGAAUUCCCGGUGUAGCGGUGAAAUGCGCAGAUAUCGGGAAGAACACCCGUGGCGAAGGCGGCUCUCUGGGACGGUACUGACGCUGAGACGCGAAAAGCG